Pistacia vera is the source of this 106-nucleotide small nucleolar RNA. The record is from RefSeq and is a predicted model, not a curated record. NCBI's taxonomy places the organism in Eukaryota, Viridiplantae, Streptophyta, Magnoliopsida, Sapindales, Anacardiaceae.
AAACCAUGAUGAGGACACUUCUAGAGCAACCCAUUAAAUCUCUCCCAAGCUUCAUUGUAUUACUCAUCCUCCUUUUGUAAAAACUCAAAAAUUUCCUUACGAAUAU